Molecule: ribosomal RNA, 253 nt
Filed under: uncultured bacterium
Lineage: Bacteria
Description: partial 16S ribosomal RNA
Rfam family: Bacterial small subunit ribosomal RNA
Source: RNAcentral
UACGAAGGGGGCUAGCGUUGCUCGGAAUCACUGGGCGUAAAGCGCACGUAGGCGGGUCUUUAAGUCAGGGGUGAAAUCCUGGAGCUCAACUCCAGAACUGCCUUUGAUACUGAGGAUCUCGAGUCCGGGAGAGGUGAGUGGAACUGCGAGUGUAGAGGUGAAAUUCGUAGAUAUUCGCAAGAACACCAGUGGCGAAGGCGGCUCACUGGCCCGGUACUGACGCUGAGGUGCGAAAGCGUGGGGAGCAAACAGG